Molecule: long non-coding RNA, 166 nt
Organism: Gopherus evgoodei (Goodes thornscrub tortoise)
Lineage: Eukaryota; Metazoa; Chordata; Testudines; Testudinidae
Exons: 3
Source: RefSeq, a predicted model, not a curated record
CACCAAAUCCUGGCCUGGAGUGGGCAAACUUUUUGGCCUGAGGACCACAUCUGGGUGGGGAAAUUGCGAAUUGCAUGCAGGACCAUGAAUGUUGGGCUGGGGCAGGGGGGUUGGGGUGUGGGAGGGGAUGCGGUGUGCAGGAUGGGGCUCAGGCCAAGGAGUUGGG